RNAcentral lists this transfer RNA (76 nucleotides) under Fuerstiella sp. RNAcentral's name for it is "tRNA-His". It matches the Rfam family "tRNA". Rfam says of the family: Transfer RNA (tRNA) molecules are approximately 80 nucleotides in length. Their secondary structure includes four short double-helical elements and three loops (D, anti-codon, and T loops). Lineage: Bacteria; Pseudomonadati; Planctomycetota; Planctomycetia; Planctomycetales; Planctomycetaceae. The record is from RNAcentral.
GCAGUCUGUAGUGUAGUGUUGCUGCACUUUCGGCUUGUGGAGCCGAAAGUGGGGGCUCGAUUCCCCUCAGGCUGCC